AUUAGACGAAUCAUCUGGAAAGAUGAAUCAAAGAAGGUAAUAAUCCUGUAGUCGAAAAUGUUGUCUCUCUUGAGUGGAUCCUGAGUACGACGGAGCACGUGAAAUUCCGUCGGAAUCUGGGAGGACCAUCUCCUAAGGCUAAAUACUCUCUAGUGACCGAUAGUGAACCAGUACCGUGAGGGAAAGGUGAAAAGCACCCCGGAAGGGGAGUGAAAUAGAACCUGAAACCGUGUGCUUA
RNAcentral lists this ribosomal RNA (238 nucleotides) under Staphylococcus aureus. RNAcentral describes it as "partial 23S ribosomal RNA". It matches the Rfam family "Bacterial large subunit ribosomal RNA", at positions 328 to 566 of the family's 2925-position model. The record is from RNAcentral. Lineage: Bacteria; Bacillati; Bacillota; Bacilli; Caryophanales; Staphylococcaceae.